GGGUUAGGGGUUCAGUUCCCUGUCUAGCUCAACUGGUAGAGCAUGGCAUCAACACUGCCAGGGUUAGGAAUUCGAUUCCCUGUCUAGCUCA
Non-coding RNA from Merluccius polli (Benguela hake), 91 nucleotides. NCBI's taxonomy places the organism in Eukaryota, Metazoa, Chordata, Actinopteri, Gadiformes, Merlucciidae. The record is from the annotation of a GenBank genome assembly.